Molecule: ribosomal RNA, 253 nt
Filed under: uncultured bacterium
Lineage: Bacteria
Description: partial 16S ribosomal RNA
Rfam family: Bacterial small subunit ribosomal RNA
Source: RNAcentral
UACGGAGGGUGCAAACGUUGCUCGGAAUCAUUGGGCGUAAAGCGCACGUAGGUGGCUUGUUAAGUCGGGUGUGAAAUCCCUGGGCUCAACCCAGGAAGUGCACUCGAAACUGGCGAGCUUGAGUACUGAAGAGGGUCGCGGAAUUCCCGGUGUAGAGGUGAAAUUCGUAGAUAUCGGGAGGAACACCAGUGGCGAAGGCGGCGACCUGGGCAGAUACUGACGCUGAGGCGCGAAAGCCAGGGGAGCAAACGGG